UACGAAGGGUGCAAACGUUGCUCGGAAUUAUUGGGCGUAAAGCGCACGUAGGCGGCUUAGCAAGUCGGAAGUGAAAUCCCACGGCUCAACCAUGGAAGUGCUUUCGAAACUGCUGAGCUUGAGUACUUAAGAGGAUCGCGGAAUUCCCGGUGUAGAGGUGAAAUUCGUAGAUAUCGGGGAGGAACACCAGUGGCGAAGGCGGCGUCUGGGGAAGAUAUGACGCUGAGGUGCGAAAAGCGUGGGGGAGCAAAACAGG
RNAcentral lists this ribosomal RNA (256 nucleotides) under uncultured bacterium. Its description in RNAcentral is "partial 16S ribosomal RNA". It matches the Rfam family "Bacterial small subunit ribosomal RNA", at positions 524 to 776 of the family's 1533-position model. The record is from RNAcentral.